AAUUUGGAUUAUCAUUUCCUUGUGAUUUGCAGUGUGCUAAGCAACAAGGGCCAACAGAGUGCGGAUAUUACAUUAUCCGUUAUAUGUUUGAGAUAAUUGAGAGCGGAUGUAUUACAAAAUUUGAUGAGAUUUUUGAUAAUGAUUGUUCAUAUACUAUUGAUGACAUUAACUUCAUCCGAGACCUUUUGGCACAGCAACUGCUUCAAGAAUUGUGGUCCAGGGAUUGAGCAAGUUUAUGUUUAGAGACAAUAGGAUCAAUAUUGACUUUUGUAAUUUGUUCUUCUUUUUUGACUAGUUAGUUAAUUAAUGUGUCUAUAUAGAUGAAGUUAUGAUGUUGAUAUGUCUUGGCUGAAAAUAUUGACUGGUUCAUACUAUUUCAACUUGCUGGAAAGUGGCUAUUAUGGCUAUUGUGGCUGUA
Molecule: long non-coding RNA, 418 nt
Organism: Neltuma alba
Lineage: Eukaryota; Viridiplantae; Streptophyta; Magnoliopsida; Fabales; Fabaceae
Exons: 2
Source: RefSeq, a predicted model, not a curated record